GGAGUCGGCCGGGCAGUCGCUCCGCUUCGGCGGGGAGGAAAGUCCGGGCUCCGCAGGGUGGGAUGCCAGGUAACGCCUGGGCGGCGCGAGCCGACGGAAAGUGCCACAGAAAACGUACCGCCGAUGGCCUUCGGGAUCAGGUAAGGGUGAAAAGGUGCGGUAAGAGCGCACCGCGCGGGUGGUAACAUGCCGCGGCACGGUAAACCCCAUCCGGAGCAAGACCAAAUAGGGACGCAAUGGCGUGACCCGCGCUGCGUCCGGGUAGGUUGCUAGAGGUGCGUGGCGACGCGCAUCCCAGAUGAAUGACUGUCCUCGACAGAACCCGGCUUACAGGCCGGCUCCCUCC
This 346-nucleotide RNase P RNA is filed under the name Acidihalobacter ferrooxydans. Its description in RNAcentral is "Bacterial RNase P class A". It matches the Rfam family "Bacterial RNase P class A". From Rfam's summary of the family: Ribonuclease P (RNase P) is a ubiquitous endoribonuclease, found in archaea, bacteria and eukarya as well as chloroplasts and mitochondria. Its best characterised activity is the generation of mature 5'-ends of tRNAs by cleaving the 5'-leader elements of precursor-tRNAs. The record is from Rfam by way of RNAcentral. Lineage: Bacteria; Pseudomonadati; Pseudomonadota; Gammaproteobacteria; Chromatiales; Ectothiorhodospiraceae.